Molecule: ribosomal RNA, 811 nt
Filed under: uncultured bacterium
Lineage: Bacteria
Description: bacterial SSU rRNA
Rfam family: Bacterial small subunit ribosomal RNA
Source: RNAcentral
CGGACGGGUGAGUAACACAUGGGUGACCUACCCCCUGGUGAGGGAUACCGGCGAGAGAUCGCCGACAAACCCGCAUAGGCUCGCUCUGGUAGAGCGGAGCGAGCAAAGUCUGCUUUCGGGCAGGCGCGAGGGGAUGGGCCUGUGGCCGAUUAGCUGGUUGGUGGGGUAAGAGCCUACCAAGGCUGCGAUCGGUAGCUGGUCUGAGAGGACGAACAGCCACACUGGGAUUGAGAACGGCCCAGACUCCUACGGGGGGCAGCAGUGAGGAAUUUUCCGCAAUGGGCGAGGAGCCUGACGGAGCAACGCCGCGUGCAGGAGGACGCGUUUCGGCGUGUAAACUGCUUUUCUGUGGGACGAGGAAGGACGGUACCACAGGAAGAAGCCCCGGCUAACUACGUGCCAGCAGCCGCGGUAAUACGUAGGGGGCGAGCGUUGUCCGGAGUUACUGGGCGUAAAGGGCAUGCAGGCGGUCAGACGCGUGUGGUGUGACAGCGGUGGGCUCAACUCACCGAGCAUACGACAGACGGUGUGACUUGAGGGCUCGAGAGGGACACGGAAUUCCGGGUGGAGUGGUGAAAUGCGUAGAGAUCCGGAGGAACACCGAAGGCGAAGGCAGUGUCCUGGCGAGUAUCCUGACGCUGAGGUGCGAAAGCCAGGGGAGCGAACGGGAUUAGAUACCCCGGUAGUCCUGGCCGUAAACGAUGACCACCAGGUGUGGGAGGUAUCGACCCCUUCCGUGCCAAAGGGAACCCAUUAAGUGGUCCGCCUGGGGAGUACGGUCGCAAGAUUAAAACUCAAAGGAAUUGACGGG